RNAcentral lists this long non-coding RNA (3558 nucleotides) under Chlamydomonas reinhardtii. Its description in RNAcentral is "long non-coding RNA (CREI_LNC000161)". Lineage: Eukaryota; Viridiplantae; Chlorophyta; Chlorophyceae; Chlamydomonadales; Chlamydomonadaceae. The record is from RNAcentral.
UCCGGGAGAUGAGGCUAGUAUCGGAACCUUCGGCCUCAGACGGAGGACGUGGCGUGGCGGCACAGCCCACUUUUCCCUUGCAAGGGAGAGCCACCUUCUCUUGUCCCUUCGUACGGUAAGAAGGCUGGUGUAAUUGGUUUCUUGUAACACAAAGCAGGAAUGUGGGCGGUGAGCUGAUGUGCUGCACCUCGCCUUGUGGGGGUCUGGGACUCUGGGAGUACGCUGCACACUACGUAGUGUGGGACUACGCCAACCUGUCCCUUACCCUGUCCUAUCGCAUACACAAUACACACACGGGUAUGUUCCCCUGCAAAACACACACUUUCAAUUAUUCGCAGUGUAGUGUUGGCUCUCUCCUGUUGGAUUUGGGUUUUGCCCCGCCCCCGCCGGGGUACUACCAGAAUCACGCGUGUCCCUCAGGCUGGGGCCAUCAUCUAGCUCGGUGCACGCGCACCAACAAUGGUGCGCGUCACGGCCAUGUCCACGUCCUAGACAUCCAACUUACGCAUCCUAGCGCGACUCAAGCUGCCGAAGCCAUCUACGUUAGCACCUGCAACGGCCACGUCCCCCCAUCAGUAGACAGGCGCAGGAGCGAAGAAUUCUCCACAGCUGCCGCGCUAUUCCGCACCACCUGUCUAGCACGCAUGGCCCACAGCCACCAACACACAUGCUUGCCGGCUCAGCAGCCGCCGCAGUACAGCCUGCAUGGGGGCGGGGGGGGCAAGGGGGGCAGUUGUUGUUGUUGUUGUGCCUGACCCAAACCUGCCAUUCCUGCAUGCCACCCCAAACCUGCCAUUCCUGCAUGCCACCCCAAACCUGCCCCAGCCCUGACCCAAGCCUGCCCCAAACCUGCCAUCCCAAACCUGACACAAACCUGACCCGAACCUGACCUCGGCCCGCCACGACCCCCACCCGCACCCCCACCAGUGCCAACACCCCCACCAACACCAACACCAGCGCCGCCAGUUCCACUGCAGGGUUGGCAGGGCCUUAGAUUUAGAUAACUAAGGAUAUGCUUAUAUAGCUUAUAUAUAACUUAGACAUUAGACAGAGGCCCCCCGACGACCAUAGUCAACGCACGGUCAAACUAAUGUUGCUGCGGUAUAUAGCAUUAUAUAAGCUUAUCUAAUCUUACCCAAGGUUUAGACUGGGGCCAUACAUGCGGUACGCCGCCCACGUGCCAGGCCCCAGCAAGAUCCUCGCCGCGGGCCUUGAAGCCAGCGACGAGGAGCUGAUCCUGCAGCAGUGCGAGGAGGAGGAGGAGGAGCUGGGGGCGGCGGCGGCGGCGCAGCAGGCGGCGCAGCCGCGCCUGCAGCUGACGGCAGAGGGCAUGCCGUACAUUACGGAGACGGAGCCGCUCGUGGAGUGAACAAAGCGGCCGCCGCAGCGGAGCACGGACAGGAGGCUGCAGCGGAGAGGAAGCUGAGCCAGCUUGAGCAUUCACGCAUUCUUUCAUUAUAUAUGGGGGCUUGACGUAGACUGCGUGGGGUGCAUGGGGCCCCAUAUGGGGAGUCGAAUGAGGCUGAGAGCGGCUGCGGCGGCAUUGACGUGCAUGGGUUUGGGGACCGUCAGGGGCUGGAGUGCAGUGGGUCGGGCAGCACAGGCUUUCGGACUGUUGAUUACAGAAGGGGACGGAGAGAGCAACGCAUUAGACUACUUAGCAGCAAAAACGGCUCAGCCCAUGACCCACUUCUCCUUGGGACACCCCCCGUGUAAGGUGGGCCUGCCUAACUUAAAUAAGCAUAGAUAAGCAUAGAUAAGCUUAUCUAAGGCUUUGGUCCGCGCGGCUAUCUAAGGUUUUGGCCAACCCUGUUCCACUGUGGCCGCCCCUGUUCCCCGCCGCUCCACCCCCCACAGCGGCGCCGUGGUCUUUCACCCGGUGGACAGUCACGCAACGAUGACGUGUACCCUUGCGUGCACCCCGGGUUGGGGGAGGUUGGGUCUCCCUGUUCGAAGGCUGGCCGCACGCAGCGCAUUGCCCUGAGCCUGCUUCCGAUUCCACACUCCUGCCCCCCGCCCAAUGUCGCUGUGUCGCUGUGCCGAUCCUUGCCCGCCGGAGCCCCCAGCCCCACCGAGCCAUCCACUCCAGCGCCUGUCACUCCGCCACCGUAUUUAGCGCCCCCCUGCCGGGAAGGGGUAGUUGGCGACAUUCGACGACCAUAUGCAGCCCCACGCGGCGAGAAUGCGCCCGCGGAAAUGCCCAAUCUUUCUCGCCCGAUGGCCUGCCUCUGGGGGCGUUUCUUGCCGUUCCCUUAAGAUGCAAGCCCUGGCCAAGGCCCUUGCUUGCCCUAGCCGCCUCCGCCUCCAUUGCCGAACGCGGCAGGCUGCGGGAUUUCGCCGCCACCUCUAACCUCUUCCUUGGUGGCACCCCGCCAGCAGCGCGGCCGUUGCCUGCGCCAUGAGGGCACAUCAUCCCGAGCAAGGUCAGCAUUUGGCCGACACGCAAAACCCGCGCUGCUGCGAGCUCCCUCCCAACGCAGUCUCCGAACGGGAGGUGGCAGGGGUAAGAGGCGGUGGGACCCUGCUGCCAGGUGCAGAUGUAAAUGUGUUGGGCAAGUUACACAGGGCACGAGGCGACGAGGGUCAAGGCACACCAGGGCACACUGUCACGGCAGGCGAGUGCAUGCGACACACACACACACACACAAAAAAAAUACCGUAUUGCCACGCUCAAUUGGUGAUUUUAUAAUUGGUGACAGGAAGAAAUCGCGUUGGAAUUAAACAGUCUGACACAGAUUUUGGUGAUGGGCUCUGGCAGAAGCCAGGCCGAAGUACACCCGUGUCACAGAAUUGGUGAUGGGACCCCCCAAAUCGUACCCAGCGUCUCCGGCCCCGGCAGCUGCAACACAAGCCCCGCGCUUGCAGGCGCAGUCAGGCGCUAUCCAGCCAAUGUCCCACAGCUUAAGCUGCUUAGGGCCUUUGGGGGCUACACUGAGCAUUGUGCGUACACUAUUGCUUAGUAUAGGAAUAGCGUCACUAGCCAAAGCAGCCUGUUUGCGUGUUUUCGCCCGACUUGGAUUCAGAGUGCACAGGCAUUGGUGACGGGCUCUGGCAAAUCCUAGUCGACAAUGUUCCCUGCUACCAAAUUGGUGAUUUUCACCAAAUUGGUGUCACCAAUUGAGCGUGGCAGUACGGUAGAUAAACCUUCAUCCUGGGACAGCUCCGACUAACCCCCAACUAACUCGUGUACGGCACCCCAACCCCCCUCAGCCGUACAGGAGGUAGCGUGGCAGUCGGCAGCUGCGCGAGUGUGAGCAGGUAGUUGUAUGGCGGCCGGCUCGGAAGCUACCUGUAUGUAGUGACGCACACGGGCAGUUGGCGCUAGUCGACAGGCGCGCGAGUGGGAGCUGGCAGUUGAGCGCGCACGCGUGUGGGAAGCUGCGUCUGAGCACGGCGGAGCACGGCAGAGGCUGGUGGUUGGCGCGGCGCGCGAGUGGCAGUGCAUAGUCGUGCGCCGUCUGGGAAGCUGCGUGUGUGAGCUGCGUGUAAGCUCAGAGAGACGCAUGGGGCUGCCCCUGUGCCAUAAGCUGCCUCUGGGUGCAAACGCUUUCACACGGU